AGCGCAUGUGUAGUGGACGAGCUGCAAGCUAGUCUUUAAAAAACGUCUUUAUCGGAUCACGUAAUAGACGCGCACGAGUCCAGCAGCAGCUCAGCUGUCAGAGAGCUGAAGCUGUUCAACAAGCCCGGAAUAACGCGGAACACACAUUAAACUCCAUAUUUCAUUUCAUUUAUCACAUCUCCUGUUAUUGAGCAAGUGAUG
Sinocyclocheilus grahami is the source of this 201-nucleotide long non-coding RNA. RefSeq lists it as uncharacterized. NCBI's taxonomy places the organism in Eukaryota, Metazoa, Chordata, Actinopteri, Cypriniformes, Cyprinidae. The transcript has 3 exons. The record is from RefSeq and is a predicted model, not a curated record.